This 468-nucleotide ribosomal RNA is filed under the name uncultured bacterium. RNAcentral's name for it is "partial 16S ribosomal RNA". It matches the Rfam family "Bacterial small subunit ribosomal RNA", at positions 28 to 507 of the family's 1533-position model. The record is from RNAcentral.
GAUGAACGCUGGCGGCGUGCUUAACACAUGCAAGUCGAACGGAAAGGCCCAAGCUUGCUUGGGUACUCGAGUGGCGAACGGGUGAGUAACACGUGGGUGAUCUGCCCUGCACUUCGGGAUAAGCCUGGGAAACUGGGUCUAAUACCGGAUAGGACGAUGGUUUGGAUGCCAUUGUGGAAAGUUUUUUCGGUGUGGGAGGAGCUCGCGGCCUAUCAGCUUGUUGGUGGGGUAAUGGCCUACCAAGGCGUCGACGGGUAGCCGGCCUGGGAGGGUGUACGGCCACAUUGGGACUGAGAUACGGCCCAGAGUCCUACGGGGGGCAGCAGUGGGGAAUAUUGCACAAUGGGCGCAAGCCUGAUGCAGCGACGCCGCGUGGGGGAUGACGGCCUUCGGGUUGUAAACUCCUUUCGCUAGGGACGAAGCGUUUUUGUGACGGUACCUGGAGAAGAAGCACCGGCUAACUACGUG